RNAcentral lists this ribosomal RNA (254 nucleotides) under uncultured bacterium. RNAcentral describes it as "partial 16S ribosomal RNA". It matches the Rfam family "Bacterial small subunit ribosomal RNA", at positions 524 to 776 of the family's 1533-position model. The record is from RNAcentral.
UACGGUGGGAGCAAGCGUUGUUCGGAUUUACUGGGCGUAAAGGGCGCGUAGGCGGCCAGCACAAGUCAGUUGUGAAAUCUCCGAGCUUAACUCGGAAAGGUCAACUGAUACUGUGCGGCUAGAGUGCGGAAGGGGCAACUGGAAUUCUUGGUGUAGCGGUGAAAUGCGUAGAUAUCAAGAGGAACACCUGCGGCGAAGGCGGGUUGCUGGGCCGACACUGACGCUGAUGCGCGAAAGCCAGGGGAGCGAACGGG